CAUGCAUUCUGAUGCAAGGGAGCCCCCUAUCUUUAGGGGCGAUGCCUCAGACAAGUUCACAGUUCAUGAGUGGGAGACUCUUAUGACCAUGUACUUGAAGAAACGGGCUAUCCCAGUUCAUGAGCAUUCACAAGAAAUUCUGGCUAAGCUUAUGGGCAAAGCAGGGGAUGUGGUGAAGAUAAAGUUGCGCAACGCAUCUGUUGAUCAUACACAGAAUCCCACAGUGAUCUUUGACAUAUUGAAACAGCAUUUUAGUGUGCACACAUACUCGAACAUGCCAUUAGCUGAUUUUUAUAAUACCCUUCCAAAACCAGACGAGGACGCCAUGGAGUAUUGGAUCAGGCUUAACAAGACAAUGGAUAUUGCAAUCGAGUGUCUGAAAAGGCAAGGGCGUAGCAUUGAAGACCCGAACCAUGAGGUCAGCAUGAUGUUCACUAAGCACUGUCCUGACCAGUCACUUGCAAAUGUCUUCAAGUUUAAGUCUGCAGACAAAUGGCUAGCCAGUGAAAUUCAGGAACGGCUUGAUGAGCAUAUGCAGGACAAGAAGAGUCGUGCUUCUGUUAAGUCAGCUCAGCCAGAUACAGUGAAGUGCAAGGCCCAUUCGCAGUGCCAGGCACCCUUUGUUGACAGUGGGCCUGAGCCAAGACCUCCUACAUCUUCAAUGCAGUCUUCAGUGUCUUCUGCAGUUAGUGCCGACAACGACUACAUGAAAAGCUUGGUGGGAUUGCUGGAUAGGUUAGUGAUGCAGCAAAGUCAGAUACCUGUCAAUGUCAGCAACCAGGCUGCUGCGCCUGUAGCUUUCCGUAGGCCUUGCAGAGUCUGUAGCAAACUCGAUCACUCCACAGUGUCACACUGCAGACGGGAGAAUAGGUGUCUGAAGUGCCUUGCACCUGGACAUUGGAAGAAAGAUUGUACUCAGCGCUUUAGCCAGCAGCGUGCUCCACCUAGUGCGCCUAGUGGCAGGGCAGAGGGGCAGAACCAAAAGUUAAACUACUGAGCCCACACCUUGAGGGGGGUGGUGUGGGUGAAAAGACUGAAUCCCUCAAUGAAGAUUCUGACUUGAUUAGUGUGUUUGAAGAGAGUAUGGCUAAUGCAACUAAGGGGUCAAAGGUCAUCAUCCAAUCUAGCCAGAAGAUCCAGGCAUUCAGUGAGCUUUUCUAUAUUCCUGUUGUUAUCAACCACCAAGUCCAACUUGAAGGCAUGCUAGACUCAGGCUCCAUGGCGUGUACCAUCAGUGGACCGGCAGUGGAGAAGCUUAGAUGCGCUGGUGUCUUGCCUGAAAAGCAGCAUCCGGAGGAGAACAUUGUGCUAAUAGGUUGUGGGGGUCGGCAAACUCAACCAGAAGGGCUUUAUGAGUUAAAGAUCCAGAUUUAUGGCACAUGCUGCAUCGUACCCACUUUAGUUGUCCCAUCUCAGCCAGAUGACCUCAUAAUUGGGUCAAAUGUCAUCAAACACCUGAUGCAUGAUUUAAAAAGUGACAGUAAAUAUUGGGACAUUGUGUCCAGUUACAAACAUCAGUCUAAUCCUGACAUUGACCACUUUUUGUCAAUGUUUACCAGUGUUGAGCAGUGGAAGGGGCAAGAGAUUCCUGAGAAGGUUGGAACGGUUAAGCUUACCCAAGCAGUCACUCUCUUGCCCAGACAUGAACACCUUGUCUGGGGCAGACUUCCUCCCAAUGUGCCGAUGUCACCAGGUAGCACAGUUAUGGUGGAGCCGACUGGAUCCAAAGCUCAGCCACGGGGUGUCCUUGUUGGCCGUCUCGUCACACCUCUAUGGGGUGACAGGGCUUACAUGUCGUCUCAGAGAAACAACAGCCAGACCCUUCUCACAGUUCAUGUUCUGGCUCCCAACCUGCAGCUGCGCUGGCAGAGUUAGGCUUGGCUGACAUCAAGAUCGACUCCUCUCACAUAAGUGAAAGUUGCAAGAAUGAGCUUGAUCAGUUACUUGCAGAGUUCCAGGACAUUUUUUCAAAACAUCCAUUGGACUGUGGUGAAGUUAAGGAGUUCACUCACCGCAUUCGUCUGACUGAUGACCGACCAUUUCGCUUACCAUACCGGAGAGUGCCUCCCGCACAUUAUCAGAAGCUGAGGCAAGUGCUUACAGAAAUGGAAGAAAGAGGAAUCAUUCGGAAGUCCACAAGUGAAUAUGCAUCGCCUCUGGUAAUGGUGUGGAAAAAGGAUGGGGGUCUACGAAUAUGUGUCGAUUUCAGAUGGUUGAAUGCACGAACUCUGAAGGAUGCUCACCCGUUGCCACACCAAUCAGAUUGUCUGGCUGCUUUGGGUGGCAACUGCUUCUUUAGUACAAUGGAUCUCACUUCAGGGUUUUAUAAUAUCCCUAUGCAUGAGGAUGACAAAAAAUACACGGCAUUUACAACACCUCUUGGAUUACACGAAUAUAAUCGCAUGCCACAAGGACUAUGUAACAGCCCUGCUUCCUUUAUGAGGAUGAUGAUGGGAAUC
Neoarius graeffei (lesser salmon catfish) is the source of this 2459-nucleotide RNA transcript. RefSeq lists it as uncharacterized. The transcript has 2 exons. Lineage: Eukaryota; Metazoa; Chordata; Actinopteri; Siluriformes; Ariidae. The record is from RefSeq and is a predicted model, not a curated record.